Long non-coding RNA from Octopus bimaculoides (California two-spot octopus), 1193 nucleotides. RefSeq lists it as uncharacterized. NCBI's taxonomy places the organism in Eukaryota, Metazoa, Mollusca, Cephalopoda, Octopoda, Octopodidae. The record is from RefSeq and is a predicted model, not a curated record.
CUAGAGUUCCGGCGUGAGUUUUAGCGUGUUAAUAAAUUGCACGUCCGUUAUCACAAAGUUCAACAAUAUCUGCGUGCUCUAGGAUCUGGAUUGAUGCAAUUCUUCCAUACCUCACCCACAUAUUCCUAGUCUUCCUAUCCUAAAAUGGCCAGAACCGCGCUGAUUUUGGAUCCGAGAUGUAUACUGCUUGAACACUGGUAGCUGUAUUUGUGUAACUAAUGAAGAUGUUGAGGAUUCCGAAUUCAAGAAAAAUAUCUACAACUUCAUGCCAAGGAAUCUGCCACCAAUUCCUGUCCUCCUCCUCAGCUGAGCUAGACUACUGUACGCUUUCUGUUGAUGGCUGCCCUGUGUGCAGUGUGCCUGCAGCAACGCCGAAUUCGGAUUUGUUUUUCACUAGAGUGUGUUGGUGCAACCCAUGGAUCCAGGGAGGCUACUAUUUCUAGAGAUGUGAUUGCCAUUUGAAACAGACCUCAGAAAUAAAACAAUUUUUUAUAAAACAAUGCGACAAAAAGAAAUACUAACUGCCCGACUAAACAUAUAUUAUGCUACCUAUUAAGCGAAUAGCUUCGACACCCUUUCAGAGGGAUUUUAAAAGCCAGGCACUACCCCCUGUUCACAGUCUGCAUAUACUGUUAAUUGCUGCAACGCCAGUUCAAGCUGUUUUAAUUUCAUCUUUCGGCAGACCAGCUACUUAAACGGUCACGUUAUAAUAGAGCAAUUCAAAUGAUUGUAUACAGACGGUAACAAUUCAGCUCUCUUAUCAGCUACAAUACAAUGGCUUUCUACAGCUUUAUUGUUCACUUAUCAGCUACAAUAGAAUACCUUUCUUCAGCUAUGCAGUUCAUUUAUCGACCAAGAUUCAACAGUCUGAAUAUAAUUUGUCUCCUUCUAUGCAGUUCACAUGCCUGAAUCAACAGGAACCAAUAGAAUAACUUCUUUUUUCUAAUAUGAUUGCUGCUUACCAAAGAACAUAAAUUUCAUGAAGGAAUGAAACAUUCUUAUUUGCUUUAAAUCUCUCUCUGCAAAAAUUAUGAGACACCAAAGAAACCUUCAAUUUUUCAUUGAGUUUGAAACACUGAAUUGCCAUAUAUUCUGAAGCUUAUUACAGGAUAAUCUAUCGACGAGUCCUGGACCGAGAGACAAAAAUGGUCACAAGGUUUUUCAAACACAAAUAUAAAAUAAGUAUAACACAC